RNAcentral lists this non-coding RNA (65 nucleotides) under Pessonella sp. PRA-29. The record is from RNAcentral. Lineage: Eukaryota; Discosea; Flabellinia; Vannellidae.
GUGGACAAGAACGGAGCGCCAGUGACGCCGGCGCCACCGGGCAAUCCAGGCACCACCGGUGGCAA